This 796-nucleotide ribosomal RNA is filed under the name uncultured Planctomycetota bacterium. Its description in RNAcentral is "bacterial SSU rRNA". It matches the Rfam family "Bacterial small subunit ribosomal RNA", at positions 563 to 1351 of the family's 1533-position model. Lineage: Bacteria; Pseudomonadati; Planctomycetota. The record is from RNAcentral.
AAGCGCACGUAGGCGGUCUCGUAAGUCGGGUGUGAAAUCCCACAGCUUAACUGUGGAACUGCGCCCGAUACUGCGGGGCUUGAGGAUGGGAGGGGAGAGUGGAAUUCCUGGUGGAGCGGUGAAAUGCGUAGAUAUCAGGAGGAACACCGGUGGCGAAGGCGACUCUCUGGUCCAUUCCUGACGCUGAGGUGCGAGAGCUAGGGGAGCAAACGGGAUUAGAUACCCCGGUAGUCCUAGCUGUAAACGAUGGGCACUAGAUAGAGGGAUUCUAUGCAUCUCUCUGUCGGAGCUAACGCGUUAAGUGCCCCGCCUGGGGAGUAUGCUCGCAAGGGUAAAACUCAAAGGAAUUGACGGGGGCUCACACAAGCGGAGGAGCAUGUGGUUCAAUUCGACGCAACGCGAAGAACCUUACCCAGGCUUGACAUGGAUGGAUUAGUCGGCGGAGACGUUGAUGACACUCGCAAGAGCGGAACAUUCACAGGUGCUGCAUGGCUGUCGUCAGCUCGUGUCGUGAGAUGUUGGGUUAAGUCCCGUAACGAGCGAAACCCUUGCCCCAAGUUGCGACCAGGUAAAGCUGAGCACUCUUAGGGGACUGCCGUUGUCAAAACGGAGGAAGGUGGGGACGACGUCAAGUCAUCAUGGCCUUUAUGCCUGGGGCUACACACGUGCUUACAAUGGCCGGUACAAAGGGUUCCGAGGGCGCAAGCCGGAGGCAAUCCCAUAAAGCCGGUCUCAGUUCGGAUUGGAGGCUGCAACUCGCCUCCAUGAAGCCGGAAUCGCUAGUAAUCGCGGAUCA